CAAUAGCAUAUAUUAACGUUGUUGCAGUUGAAAAGCUCGUAGUUGAACUUUUGGUAGGAGCGACCUGGCCUUGGGCGCAUGCCCUUGUUUGCCGUGUGUCGUGUCUGGCCAUCCUUUUCCGUUUCGGCGGGAAUCUUUUACUGUGAGUAAACUGGAGUGCUCAAAACAAGACGUUUGUUUGGUACAUUAAAGCAUGGAAUAAUAAGAUAGGACCUGGUUACUAUUUUGUUGGUUUGCAUAGCUAGGUAAUGAUUAACAGGGACAGUUGGGGGUAUUCGUAUUUAAUUGUCAGAGGUGAAAUUCUUGGAUUUAUGAAAGACGAACAUCUGCGAAAGCAUUUGCCAAGGAUGUUUUCAUUGA
RNAcentral lists this ribosomal RNA (360 nucleotides) under uncultured eukaryote. RNAcentral's name for it is "partial 18S ribosomal RNA". It matches the Rfam family "Eukaryotic small subunit ribosomal RNA", at positions 592 to 976 of the family's 1831-position model. The record is from RNAcentral.